This 770-nucleotide ribosomal RNA is filed under the name uncultured bacterium. RNAcentral describes it as "bacterial SSU rRNA". It matches the Rfam family "Bacterial small subunit ribosomal RNA", at positions 9 to 803 of the family's 1533-position model. The record is from RNAcentral.
GAGUUUGAUCAUGGCUCAGGAUGAACGCUGACAGAAUGCUUAACACAUGCAAGUCUACUUGAUCCUUCGGGUGAAGGUGGCGGACGGGUGAGUAACGCGUAAAGAACUUGCCUUACAGACUGGGACAACAUUUGGAAACGAAUGCUAAUACCGGAUAUUAUGAUUGGGUCGCAUGAUCUGGUUAUGAAAGCUAUAUGCGCUGUGAGAGAGCUUUGCGUCCCAUUAGUUAGUUGGUGAGGUAACGGCUCACCAAGACGAUGAUGGGUAGCCGGCCUGAGAGGGUGAACGGCCACAAGGGGACUGAGACACGGCCCUUACUCCUACGGGAGGCAGCAGUGGGGAAUAUUGGACAAUGGACCAAAAGUCUGAUCCAGCAAUUCUGUGUGCACGAUGAAGUUUUUCGGAAUGUAAAGUGCUUUCAGUUGGGAAGAAGUCAGUGACGGUACCAACAGAAGAAGCGACGGCUAAAUACGUGCCAGCAGCCGCGGUAAUACGUAUGUCGCAAGCGUUAUCCGGAUUUAUUGGGCGUAAAGCGCGUCUAGGCGGCUUAGUAAGUCUGAUGUGAAAAUGCGGGGCUCAACCCCGUAUUGCGUUGGAAACUGCUAAACUAGAGUACUGGAGAGGUAGGCGGAACUACAAGUGUAGAGGUGAAAUUCGUAGAUAUUUGUAGGAAUGCCGAUGGGGAAGCCAGCCUACUGGACAGAUACUGACGCUAAAGCGCGAAAGCGUGGGUAGCAAACAGGAUUAGAUACCCUGGUAGUCCACGCCGU